CGCUGGCGGCGUGCUUAACACAUGCAAGUCGAGGGGAAACGAUAUUGGAAGCUUGCUUCCGAUAGGCGUCGACCGGCGCACGGGUGAGUAACGCGUAUCCAACCUGCCCGUCACUUGGGAAUAACCUUGCGAAAGUAAGACUAAUGCCCAAUGACAUUUAUAGAAGGCAUCUGAAAUGAAUUAAAGAUUUAUCGGUGAUGGAUGGGGAUGCGUCUGAUUAGCUUGUUGGCGGGGUAACGGCCCACCAAGGCAACGAUCAGUAGGGGGUUCUGAGAGGAAGGUCCCCCACAUUGGAACUGAGACACGGUCCAAACUCCUACGGGAGGCAGCAGUGAGGAAUAUUGGUCAAUGGGCGAGAGCCUGAACCAGCCAAGUAGCGUGCAGGACGACGGCCCUAUGGGUUGUAAACUGCUUUUAUAAGGGAAUAAAGUGAGUCUCGUGAGACUUUUUGCAUGUACCUUAUGAAUAAGGACCGGCUAAUUCCGUG
Molecule: ribosomal RNA, 487 nt
Filed under: uncultured bacterium
Lineage: Bacteria
Description: bacterial SSU rRNA
Rfam family: Bacterial small subunit ribosomal RNA
Source: RNAcentral